UGGGGCGGCACAUCUGCUAAACGAUAACGCAGGUGUCCCAAGGUAAGCUCAAAGAGAACGGAAAUCUCUUGUUGACUAAAAAGGGGAAAUGAGCUUGCUUGAUUUAUUACUUAAUUUGUUAGAUUUUCAGUACGAAUUCGAACUGCGAAAGCAUGGCCUAUCGAUCCUUUUGUUUUUGAAGAGGUGCUUAAGCUAGAGGUGUCAGAAAAGUUACCACAGGG
RNAcentral lists this ribosomal RNA (221 nucleotides) under uncultured Dinobryon. RNAcentral describes it as "partial Eukaryotic large subunit ribosomal RNA". It matches the Rfam family "Eukaryotic large subunit ribosomal RNA", at positions 2626 to 2825 of the family's 3401-position model. Lineage: Eukaryota; Chrysophyceae; Chromulinales. The record is from RNAcentral.